CUGCGCGCAGCGCUGGGCGGUCAGCGUGAGGCAGAUCAGGCCGCGCGCAUGCGUGGCCAUGAAAUUGAUCGCCUGCGGCGUGAUGUGCUCGGCGGCGAUGACCA
Molecule: antisense RNA, 104 nt
Filed under: Thiomonas bhubaneswarensis
Lineage: Bacteria; Pseudomonadati; Pseudomonadota; Betaproteobacteria; Burkholderiales
Description: Thiomonas sp. S10 Vibrio RNA AS9
Rfam family: Vibrio RNA AS9
About the family: Identified by direct cloning an parallel sequencing experiments with 5S/tRNA depletion.
Source: Rfam by way of RNAcentral